GAGUUAAUAUAUGACAGGGACCACACAAGCUGCACAAGAAAACCACGUGCAAGACCUUCUCUUCCUUCUUAUUUGCUUUACAAGGAACUGCAGCAUCCCAGCUGAAAAUGCCUCAACAGGUGGAAGUUAUGUCCAUGAGGACACAUAAAUUGUCAACACCUGCCCGUCUCUUCUGGGAUGGAGCCACUGGCAGGGACUGGUUGGGUUGCUAAGCAGAUCUGUCUGCCAUGGUGGAGCUUUACGAACACCUCUGCAUAUGGAUUAAAGGUAAAAUGAUUUCCUAAUAAUUUGUAGAGUUUUUUAACAACAAUAGCAAGUUCUUAGGGGUGGGAAACACUUUCUCUUUUUUCUCCAGGGUUUGGCAUGGUAGGUUUUGUGCAGGCACAGCUUCUGUCACUAAUAGUGCUGGAUGCACAUAAAGCACUGUAC
This 429-nucleotide long non-coding RNA is filed under the name Falco tinnunculus (common kestrel). RNAcentral describes it as "lncRNA (ENSFTIG00000001516.1)". Lineage: Eukaryota; Metazoa; Chordata; Aves; Falconiformes; Falconidae. The record is from RNAcentral.